This 550-nucleotide ribosomal RNA is filed under the name uncultured bacterium. RNAcentral's name for it is "bacterial SSU rRNA". It matches the Rfam family "Bacterial small subunit ribosomal RNA", at positions 355 to 896 of the family's 1533-position model. The record is from RNAcentral.
UAGGGAAUCUUCGGCAAUGGGGGGAACCCUGACCGAGCAACGCCGCGUGAGUGAAGAAGGUUUUCGGAUCGUAAAGCUCUGUUGUAAGAGAAGAACGGGUGUGAGAGUGGAAAGUUCACACUGUGACGGUAUCUUACCAGAAAGGGACGGCUAACUACGUGCCAGCAGCCGCGGUAAUACGUAGGUCCCGAGCGUUGUCCGGAUUUAUUGGGCGUAAAGCGAGCGCAGGCGGUUAGAUAAGUCUGAAGUUAAAGGCUGUGGCUUAACCAUAGUAUGCUUUGGAAACUGUUUAACUUGAGUGCAGAAGGGGAGAGUGGAAUUCCAUGUGUAGCGGUGAAAUGCGUAGAUAUAUGGAGGAACACCGGUGGCGAAAGCGGCUCUCUGGUCUGUAACUGACGCUGAGGCUCGAAAGCGUGGGGAGCAAACAGGAUUAGAUACCCUGGUAGUCCACGCCGUAAACGAUGAGUGCUAGGUGUUAGGCCCUUUCCGGGGCUUAGUGCCGCAGCUAACGCAUUAAGCACUCCGCCUGGGGAGUACGACCGCAAGGUUG